GGAUCACGGUCCUGCCUGGGCUGCAGUUCCUGCUGGGAGUGAUGCAGGAGCACGCUGGGAGUCUGGCUCCUUCCUGCCCCAGCAGCAGCCUGGCAGCAGAUGGGGCAGGGAGCCACCACUGGGACAAUUCAUUCACUGCCAGUGAACGCUCCCUCAGCUGAGCACGGCUGUUGUGUCUCUGUCUCCAUGAGGAUCUGUAUCCCUGGAAUCAGUACUGCAGCAGUCGCUGCUCUCUGUGGCCAGGAAACACUGCUCUUGCACACUGCUGUACACGCCAGAGGGUGCUUUUUCUCUGAACCAAACAGCCUUUAUUUCAUAGUGUGUUGUGGGUUCAUAGAAAGUGAUCAAGGUCUUGGAAGCUGAUUCUUGUUGUAUUCUGUGAAAAUCCACCUCUCUUCAGCCUAAGGUGUGGCGGGGGCUGAAGAACUCCUGAAGGCGAAGACUCUGCUUGUGGAUGUGUGGCACUGCAGGUACAUGGGAACAAGAAACCGGGAAGUUGAGGGAGCAAGGAAAGGAGAUGGAAGGCAGCCUUGGGCAUGUUCUUUGGGUUGGGCAGAAUAACCUUCCCUCUGAUCACAUGGCCUUUCUCUGAAAACGGGGGAAAUUCAUUCCUGGGACAUUGGCCUGAAGAAUGAACAAUGUUCCUACCGGACUGUUCUACAAUCCCCCGUUUUUCCUUAAUUACAUUAUUUAUUGGGUGAAGUUUGCUGUGACCAAGAUGCUAAUAAGAAAACAAAAUUUCCUCAGAGACUGGUUUAGUGGGAACUGCUGCAAAUUGAUGUGCAUUGAACUAAGAUUUUAAGGAGGAAAUAACUGUAUUGAACAGUAUUGGUCAAAAUGGAGGAGAAGCAUGUUUUUGAGGGUGCAAAAACUUGGUUAUAUUAAGAAGAAUUAUUACUGCAGAACCAGUUCUGAGAUAAGGCAAGUCUAGAGUCUUCCAACCUUUUCCUCUUCAGAUUUGUCAGAGCUGUUGUCGCUGCAGGGCACAGAGCUUGCAGGGAAAAGCCAGGCAGGGUGUGGAGAGGGUGUCCUGUGCCCCAGGGGAGUGGGGUGAGGUUGAGGAGUGCUUGAAAGCUCUUUUGGGAAGUUCUGGGAGAGGAAAUGUGUCCAAAGGUUUUGAGGCUCUGUAUGAGAGGGCUGCCAGCAGGAGCAAAGUUUGGAGAUGCCAAAGGUGCCACACACCUGCUUUCUUGCUGUCAGGCUAUUGAGUAAUCGGGAUCAACACAUCCUCAGUGACCUCUGUGCUCAGGGCCAAGUGUCCUGGGCUACUGCCUGGCAACAAGAUCCCUUUGGAGGGGAAGGGAGGAGGGGUUUAGUUGUUAAAACUGGUCCCUUUAGAAGAGGGUGGAUGGAUUGGUGUGGCCAGGAGAUCAUGGUACAGAAUCAGUGACCCCUGGUGGGGGUACUGCUUACCCUGUUGGGCUGGAACUCCCCUCCUGGGACCCUUUGAAUGCCUCUGCUCCCUUCUCCGUGACCCUGCUCCUCCACACUGGGAUUGGACACAGGAAGAAUGGAGCCCACGUAGCAGCGUGAUAAUGCAGGACAAUGGCUUUAAAAUACAGCUACUUGUAGGAUUUGUGUAAGAUUCAGGGGCUCUGGGGGCUGUGUGUCCUGCAGGAGCCGAGAUGUGCAGCAGCAGAACUUGCCUGGUGCAGGGACUGGGGCUGCCCCGGCUUUUCCCGUGGCAUCGGCCGGAUGGCGCCUGGACGCGUUUUCCUUGUCCUGCAGCUGAGUCCUAGCGAUAAACAGCCAGCAGUGACUGCCUGGGACUGCACAUGACUUUUCUCUGGGGCUACGGGAAUAAAGGGACUGAGGAAUUAAAAAGGCUGUUCCCGAAUUCCGGCGGGUACAAGGAUGAAGCGAAGCGCCCUCUGGUGCCGACAGCGGUGAGGUCCUGAGCCGAGAAGAGACUUUGUGUUUUUCCUGAAAGCUUAAAUUUAUUCUUUUUUCUCUGAAGAUUGUUGCUCAGUGAGGUUCCAGCAAGCACUGCAGCUGCCUGAGGAUGGGAACAACAUCUGCAGGAACAGACUCCCACACCCCGCUGGAAUGCUGCACUGGAGAUGUCACUCUGAGCUGAGUCUCUGUCCUCAGAGACUGGAUACCCUUGAUGAAGUUCCUUCCCUUCCUGUAGAUUUGAUAACUCCAAAUUCAGCACCAGAGGGAGGUGAAAAAAAAAAAAAACACAUCUCAAACAAAGCCAGCAUGGCUGAUUGGGACACUAGUACCACAAUCCCUCCUGCAGGAAGAGAUACAUUUUUGUUGGGAAAAAUGUUCCUCAUCUGGCUGUAAGUACACUUUCCUUCUGGCCCUUCCAAAAAAGACAGGAUAUAGAAAUACACAUUUCUUUUCAGAGUGGAGAGAGAUGGCAGGGAUUGUUGUGCAGUAAUGUUUACAGACAGCCUGGGGGCUUUUCCCUUUCUUCUUGUAGAAGUGAUUUGAAAAUAAAAAUAUGUUGUACAGACACAGACUUACCCCAGAUAUGGAACUGGAACAAAGACUGCAGGAAACCUUUUAGCAAAGCAAAGGGAAGUUGCAGUAAUAUUUCUUCUUGCUGUAAAUGCAGCCUGUGAUCCAAUAGAUUGCUGUGAAACUUGUUUGUUUUCCAUACAUCUGUUUCUGGUUAACAUUUGGGGAAAUGUCCAGCUCACAACUCUGUACAAUUGCUAAAACUCCCUGAUCUCGCCCUGCUGCCAAUUCUACUGUUGCAGUGUAUGACCUGGCUUGAACAAGAUUUCAUUUGACUUUAUGGGUAUAAUUGGUGAUUUAUCUUUAUUUAUAGGUCUAGCUUUUGGUAUUUCUAUGAUGUUAAAAAUAGUAUCCUAUGGAGAAAUAGACUUUGUAAGUCACAGUGGGGACAAUUGUGACUCCUUUUGUGUUCAAUUUCCAAAAUAUAAACAGGAGUUUCUAAGAUUAUAGGUAAGAAUAAAGCCUACCUUUUCCUUAGCACUGUCUCCAUUGGUUUGACCCCAGGGGUUAGGAACAAAGAUAGUUCCUAAUUUUGGAGAAGUUUGCACUCUCUGUCCAGAGAUGAGCAGAUGUAUUUGCAAAUAAAAUACAAUUAAAUUAGGUGUCCCAUCAUGAAGGCAGUCCUGAAUCAAGGUCAGAACAUUUUGCCUCCUUCUGCAGUUAAGAAAUAGUUACAUUUUUCAUAGCUGUUGGCUACAAAACUCUGACUGCAUUCCUCUCUUGCAGCCAGGCUGUCUGUACAGGUCAUACCUGGCUAACACUGGGUCUAGGAAAAGGCUGAGUUUAGGGAGGCUCUUUCCCUGUGGUGCUAUCCCAGCUGCUUCAAUGGAGACAGCUGCCCACGUACAAAUUUCUUUUAAAUGAGCUUGGAAUUCUUAUGACCCAUGUUCAUGAGGAUGAGGUGAUUUUAAACUCUGGAAUCUUAUAAACAGAAUUCUCCCUUUGAGCUCCAUCUUUGCAACUCACCCAUGAGAAGGUAAAAGUGAACAUUUACACUGUGCUUAGGAACACUGUGAUUCCUGAGUACACAGAAAGGGAAUACGAGCCAAUACGUUUAUCCAGGGAAAGAAGAUGUUGACAGCACAUUUACAACGUGUUGUAAAGAACUCACCAGGAUGCAAGGAAACAGCAAUCUGGAUAAACAUGGGCAUCAGCCAGCAGCUCUUCCUUUAGCUGGGACCCUUCUGCAGUGCAGUCAGUGUUGGAGACAAGGGCAAGGAGGGAUCCUGGAUGAAAGCAGAAGCCAGGGAGACUCCAGUCCAGCUCCCUGCCCUCUCUUCAAGCUGUCAUUUUGCACAGGGAAGAUUGGAUCAGCUUCAAAAGGCCCUUGGUUAGAUUUGAAGAACCUGAGCUUUUUGGAUGUUUUAUUGCAAGCUGCAUAUAUGAGACUUUACCAGCCAAACCUUCUGUGUUUGUGCUGUGGCAGUUCUGGGCUUGUGCUGUGCCACACACCACACACACUCCAGUUUUCCUGUGCCAGCUCCGCUGUGCUCCAGAGCUCCCCUGCUCUGCCAGGAUUCAGGCGAAAACAAACAGGGUGGAUAAAGAGUAGGGAGGACACAGAGCCACAGCAAGGCCAGAAAGGGGUUUCUGUUCUGGACCCUGGUCUGUGCAUCCUCUUCAGGGUAGGACAGGUUAGACUGAGUCUAACCAGGCACAGACUGGGGCUCUUCUGCCUCAAUGGCUCUUUAGCCAGUGCUGGCCUAGGCUGGCAAACACAGAGGUGAAAGCCAAGGGAUAACUCACCCCCACAGCAGCAAAUGCAGCCAGUUCUGGGCACUUCUGAAGCAUUUCUUCCUCAGUUUUACUGUCUUUGUAGCUCCCUAGACCAUGGGUGCCAUGACAAAGAGGCAACACAAGACAAGGACACAGGAAUUAAUCACAACACGUGACUGAUCUGAUGGACUUCAUGUAGGAGGUGUGUGGGGAGCUGAGAGCGGCCUCGGUGUCAGGGAAAAAACUGGGGGCUGGUGUUAAAUACAACCCCUUUGAAUCAUCUCAGGCCUCAAUUGUCUAAUAUUGCUAAUAACAAGGACUAAUAAUACACUCUUUGACCUUGAAAAAGGCCAAAUAAUCUUUUCCAACAGCCAGCAGCAACCAGUGUACAGACCAGACACCAACUAUUGCCAAAAAAUGAGAAGGACUGAUCUGGGUCUGUUCCUUGAUCUAACUGGAUUUCUGUAUUUUUUAUGAAUUACUGUCUUGCCAGCUGCUACCUAUGGAAAAGUGGCUGCACUUGCCUAAGGUACUCAGACUUUCCUUGUGUCUUUAUGGAAACAUCAUGCCUCAGUAAAUUUGACUUCACACAUAGUAAAGCUAAGAGCUCACCUGAUUAUCCAGAAGAGGUUCACAUUAGCAUUGCAUCUUGAGAAAUACAUAUACAUUUAUGUUUAUGAAAUGCAAACAAGCUGUUGAUUAAUGCAGCUCUGCUUCCUCUGGAGAGCUGGCUGUUCUGCCUGAGAAACAUCAACUUCUCCACACUCUCCUGCUUUGAUUUAGAUGAAGAUAUAUCCUCCACUGUUGUACCUGCCCAUAGAUCCCAGUUCCAUGGGGAUAAUGAGGGGGCUGAGGUGUAUUUCCAUCUCUCAGAAAUGGGAAAACAAAACAGCUCAGCUUAUGGAACCCAAACUGAUAUAAGACUGAACUUUAAUUUUGUAAUCCUUGUUAGUUCUUGUGUUCUUCUGCAUGCAAAACUGACCACUUAAGACAGACCUUAAAGUAACAUUUUUCUUUACAUUAAAUACUCACAAGAUAUGCAGCUUUAACAUAUUCCCAGUGCCUUUAUUUAGUUGCUCAGUACCUUCAUAAAGCAGCUAUUGCUUACUAAUCUGGAUUUCACCCAACAUGGGCUGGGUAGUUUAUUACUUUAAAACUUUAUUUCAUUACCUUAAAUGAAAUAACUCUGGUUUACAUAGAUCAUUGUUACUUAGGCAUGUUCACAUGAUCUCUCAUUGUGUUAAAUCAGUGCUAAAUGAAGUGUGUGAAGCAGAGCAUUUCCAGAGUAUUUUUGCCUGAUUCCAAUUUAUAAAAGUGUGAUUUAAAUUCAGGCCUCCUAGAAUUGAUUUCUGCAGAGAUGAUAGAGGAGAUAGGAACACUAACAUGUGCUUCUGCUCAACUGGGCUCCUCUUUCCAGUUCUUCCUGUCUGUCUGCUAUGGAUUUCCCAUGCCAAAUACCCAUCUCUAAUGUUGGCACAAAAACAAAUCCAUGGUUUAUCUCAAUGUAAACAAGAGAAAAGCUCAGCUAAUUGCACUCAUGGUUCUUACUGACUGCAGAAUCGUGGCACUUUCAGAAACAUUUCUGUGUUCAGGCAGGAUUACUUGCUCAGAUUUAUUCCUUAGACUGAAAUCAGGCCUGUCUUCAGCUCAGUAAUGAUGUUUGCUGUAUGCUAAAAAAGUGUGGAAUUACAGGUAGAUGGAUCCAGUGUUGCUGCCUCCUUUCAGCUGCUGGACCUGGGCUACUCCCAAAUUCCUGUAGCCAAUAUGGCUGUUGUUGUUUGGGAGGGUUAAUGCUGUGUUGUGAUAGCAUUUCACCCAGCAAAGUCCAUCCAACAGGGAUCCCUUUGCAAACUAUGAAAAUAUUUUUUAUUGAAGACUUUUUCCAGACCAAGCCCUGUAUUGAGUACAUGAUGCAGCAAUUAGCUGGCCUGUUGCUUUCCUAGGCUGAUUACUCAGAAGUAUCAGUAUUGUUUGUACCCAGAAUUCCUCCAAAUGCAUUUGAAGGUGUUGGUUGCCUUUCUUCAGCUGAAAGCACAACAUUUAGCACAUGGUUUUCAGGGGAACCAUGAGGUGAGGUUGCUCUGAACUAACACUGGGAGCUUCUCCACUUGUUUCUCUACAAGAAAUCAUAUUUACAAGGAAAGCCUCGCCCUCCAGAAAUCAGCUCCCAGAACUGCUCCUGUCACCCUCAGAAGAGGAGAGCUCCAGGCAAAGCUUUGGGACAUGGCUGUGCCCAGCAUGCUGAACAUCACCAGAGAGAAGGGGCAAGGAGGAGGGGACACUCACAGGCUGAAUUUAGAGGGUGACAACAGCUUCUAAUCUUGCUCUACCAUUUUCAGUUGUCACUGAGUGCUGCUGCUGGGAAUUGGGAGCCAUUUCCACUGCAGGGACAUUUUUGGGUGGAUGAUGUGUGGAGUAAGGAGUGAGUACUGAAUGAGGUGCAGCUGACACAGUGAUUGCUGGUAAAGAGUGGGAGCCACCUCAGUUAUUCCAUGACUUGUGUGUAAAGACAUCUGUCAGAGAAAUGAUGCAGACUUUCCAAGCUUCCAGUGGAGCCUGUGGGCAAACUGGGUACUGGGUUGCAUCUGAUCAACUCCAUCUCCAAAUGUGCAACAGGAGAAUUAUCUCAGUGUGUUUCAUCACCUGGGCAGCCCAGAGGACAUGUGUGGUGGUAGAGCUGCAGGAUUUUUUGGGAAAUUAAUAGUUACUGUUAUGCAGUUCAGAUUUGGGGGGUUAUUUAAUGGUACAGCAGUGCAGGGUUAACUGAGGCCUCAUUUUUUCUGUUCUGGAAGAUGCUUGAGAGUUUUACUGACUGCACCUUGCUGAGGAGUUCAGGCUAGAUCAACCCCCACAAAUUUUCUUGUAGUAAGUACAGUUGAAAGGUCUCCAGUUUUGGUUUGCCGGAGUUCAGCAAAAUCCUAUUCCGUGGUAUUUAAUACUGUUUUAAACAAGGUGUCUGAACAGCAGCACACAAACCACUUGGGUGACUCAAAUCAACAGCUUGUUGAGAGUCAACAGCAAGAUAAGUUGCAACCACUCCUUGAUUAAAGGAGGGAAAAUACGAUAGCCCUCAUGAUUCAUAUUAUAGAGGGCAGCUUUUGGGCCAAGUGUGCAAGGAGGAGAAAUAUUGAUGUUGCCUCACUGGCAUUGGUGUAGUGUUAAUAGGGUGUCGGCAUUCAGUUUAUGCUAAAUAUUUUAUAUUUGUCAGAUGACAAAUGACAGUGGGAACAGACAGGGGAGGGGACAAGUGGAAAGCUAAGGAGGGUAAGAAUCCAUCUUUCCCAGGCUGCAGCUGAUGCCAGACAUUCAAAAGUUGCUUUCAAUACAUCAAGCAAGGAAGAGUCACGGCUGAUGUUGGUUAUUUAAAAUUUUAUUUGCCUCUAAUUUAUUCUCAUAAAAACACUCUAAUCUAUUUGGUUUAGUAUUCAGACAGUACAGACUUCUUAUAUUAUCACGUGUGAUAUUAGAGAAGCAGUACAAACCAAUCUACCUUAGCAUGUAACCAAGCACAGGUGGAACUAAGCCCACCCACAGU
Molecule: long non-coding RNA, 7717 nt
Organism: Poecile atricapillus (Black-capped chickadee)
Lineage: Eukaryota; Metazoa; Chordata; Aves; Passeriformes; Paridae
Exons: 2
Source: RefSeq, a predicted model, not a curated record